This 354-nucleotide ribosomal RNA is filed under the name uncultured bacterium. RNAcentral describes it as "bacterial SSU rRNA". It matches the Rfam family "Bacterial small subunit ribosomal RNA", at positions 130 to 505 of the family's 1533-position model. The record is from RNAcentral.
CUUUAAGAAAGGAAUAACAGUUGGAAACGACUGCUAAUGCCCUAUAUGCCUUUAAUACAUAAGUAUGCAAGGGAAACGCUUUAGUGCUUAAGGAUGGGUCUGUAUGGUAUCAGCUUGUUGGUGAGGUAAUGGCUCACCAAGGCUAUGACGCCUAACUGGUUUGAGAGGAUGAUCAGUCACACUGGAACUGAGACACGGUCCAGACUCCUACGGGAGGCAGCAGUGGGGAAUAUUGCACAAUGGACGAAAGUCUGAUGCAGCAACGCCGCGUGGAGGAUGACACAUUUCGGUGCGUAAACUCCUUUUAUAUAGGAAGAUAAUGACGGUACUAUAGAAUAAGCACCGGCAACUCUG